GGUGGAUGUGGAGGUGCUGUCCGGUGCUCUAGAAAUGUCCAGAGCGGUGCUGCUGCAGGACCCCUGUCAGCUGGCCUCCCAGCUUAUGGGUCGACUGGGGCAGAUGGUUAGUGAGGACCGCCCUAUUGCUAAAGGUGACUCGCUGAGGUUCAGCUACCUCCAUGCUCUACUGUCUCAGUGUACCCAGUCCUCCCUGCCUGUGUUGCUGCCGUCCUCCACCUACUUGCUGCCCCCAGGAGACCUCCAACACACCCUGCUGGCAGGUCACUUGACUAAUGUAACUGCCCUGGGAGGGGGGCAGAGAGGACCCUUGUGUGUCAUCAGUGAAUCACAUGGAAGCCUGAGGUUCUGGGAUUUGGAGCAGAGGCAGAUCACAAGGAGCCUGGAUGCGGCACAGGGAAUUGUGGGAGAUUCAGUCACCCUAGGUCUGGAUGAUAGGAUGCUUAUAGUCUGCAUGGGACAACGUCUGCAGGUGAGAGAGGUUGAAUCGGGGCGAGUCGUGUACUCUGAGAGCGACUCAGUGGAUGUUCCCAUAGUCACCACCACUUGUGAAGGACGGCUGCUGGUGGUCUUCUAUGACGGAAGUCAUCUAGUCAAGGUUUUUGACUUGGCCUCCUCCUGCUCUCUGCUGCACUGUGCUAACAUUUCCCUGGAGCGGGACGCACUCCACAAAGACCGCUCCAUUCUGCUGUCCAACAAUUCCACUCUAGACUACGUCCUCUUUGCCUACAGGUCUGGUGGUGAGGCAGCAGUAUUCAGUGCCAGAGGGGGCGCUGUGCUGUCCGUCCUAUCUGCUCAGCAUGAUGCUGCCUCUAUACAAGCUGUGGAAAUGACUGAAGACUACCUGCUGCUCUUCUGCAGAUACCCAUACAAGUGUGGCAGUGAAAUCAUCCACAUCCAACUCUUCAGCACUGUGUCAUUCCUCUACUUGCGGACUAUACUGGGCUGCAGCCAGGACCGUAUUUCUCAGAUCACCGUGAACCGGGCAGGGACGCACGUCGUGGCCUUUUGCCCCUCCCCCCUUACCGGCAUCACUGAGCUGGUCACCUGGAA
Molecule: long non-coding RNA, 1053 nt
Filed under: Cottoperca gobio
Lineage: Eukaryota; Metazoa; Chordata; Actinopteri; Perciformes; Bovichtidae
Description: lncRNA (ENSCGOG00000024266.1)
Source: RNAcentral